CUGGAAUGAUGAAAGUUAGCCAAAUCGUAUAAUGAUGUGCUCCUCCUGGUGUCAUCUUAGUCUGCACUUGGUGAAGUUUUCUUCUUCCCAAGUACAAGAUGAGAUGACUGGAGUUGAAGUUUGCAUCAGUAUGUGAUGAUAGAAAUGGAGAUUGGUAACUUGCUGACCAGA
This is a non-coding RNA of Zea mays, 171 nucleotides long. Lineage: Eukaryota; Viridiplantae; Streptophyta; Magnoliopsida; Poales; Poaceae. The record is from Rfam.